This 339-nucleotide unclassified non-coding RNA is filed under the name soil metagenome. RNAcentral's name for it is "partial contains 5.8S ribosomal RNA, internal transcribed spacer 2, and large subunit ribosomal RNA". The stretch from base 1 to 120 matches the Rfam family "5.8S ribosomal RNA", at positions 35 to 154 of the family's 154-position model. The record is from RNAcentral.
GAUGAAGAACGUAGUGAAAUGCGAUAAGUAGUGUGAAUUGCAGAAUUCAGUGAAUCAUCGAAUCUUUGAACGCACAUUGCGCCUCCUGGUAUUCCGGGAGGCAUGCCUGUUCGAGCGUCAUUAAAAUCAACUCAAGCUCUUUUGCUUGGUCGUGGAAGAAGAGUCUGCAUCGCAGUCUCCCCUCCGAAAUCCAAUGGCGGAAGGUCACUGGUACCCGGCGUAGUAUUAACGUUCGCUGUGUACCCGGAGCCUUUCCUGCCCAACAACCCCCUUUCUCGUGAUUGACCUCGGAUCAGGUAGGGAUACCCGCUGAACUUAAGCAUAUCAAUAAGCGGAGGA